CAGCCGCCGCGGGAAUACGUAGGUGGCAAGCGUUGUCCGGAAUUAUUGGGCGUAAAGCGCGCGCAGGUGGUUUAAUAAGUCUGAUGUGAAAGCCCACGGCUCAACCGUGGAGGGUCAUUGGAAACUGUUAAACUUGAGUGCAGGAGAGAAAAGUGGAAUUCCUAGUGUAGCGGCGAAAUGCGUAGAGAUUAGGAGGGACACCAGUGGCGAAGGCGGCUUUUUGGCCUGUAACUGACACUGAGGCGCGAAAGCGUGGGGAGCAAACAGGAUUAGAUACCCCAGUAGUCCCUGUCUCUUAUAC
Molecule: ribosomal RNA, 301 nt
Filed under: uncultured bacterium
Lineage: Bacteria
Description: partial 16S ribosomal RNA
Rfam family: Bacterial small subunit ribosomal RNA
Source: RNAcentral